This 256-nucleotide ribosomal RNA is filed under the name uncultured bacterium. RNAcentral describes it as "partial 16S ribosomal RNA". It matches the Rfam family "Bacterial small subunit ribosomal RNA", at positions 524 to 776 of the family's 1533-position model. The record is from RNAcentral.
UACAGAGACCUCAAGCGUUAUCCGGAAUCAUUGGGCGUAAAGCGUACCGAUAGGUGGUUUGGUUAGUCUUGGGUGAAAUCCCGAAGCUCAACUUCGGGUUUGCUUAAGAUACUGCCAGACUAGAGGGGUAAAGAGGAGAUUGGAACGAACGGUGUAGUAGUGAAAUGCGUUGAUAUCGUUCGGAACACCGAAAGCGAAGGCAGAUCUCUGGGUACCUCCUGACACUGCUAGGACGAAAGCGUGGGUAGCGAAUGGG